Molecule: unclassified non-coding RNA, 346 nt
Filed under: fungal sp.
Lineage: Eukaryota; Fungi
Description: partial internal transcribed spacer region
Rfam family: Eukaryotic small subunit ribosomal RNA (bases 1-46)
Source: RNAcentral
AAGUCGUAACAAGGUUUCCGUAGGUGAACCUGCGGAAGGAUCAUUAACACGUGUCCACACGUCAACAACCGUGAACCCACCCUCCCUAACUGUGUUUCGUCGUCGAGAUCGAUUCGUGAUGGGUGAGUGCGCCGCAAGGCAAUCUCACAAUCGAUCUUGGCUAGAGUCUCGAGCUCAGACGGUCUCCGUUAGGCCCAUAUUUUUUCCCCAAAACUCCCAUCACGGUUUGACCCACCAAUUUCACCCCUUGUAACCCUGUGACUAACCUCGAUCGAAUGGGAGAAAUCCUGUUUGAUUUGUUUAUCUAAACUAAGUACAACUCUUAGCAAUGGAUAUCUUGGUUCUC